Long non-coding RNA from Oreochromis aureus, 1603 nucleotides. The record is from Ensembl. Lineage: Eukaryota; Metazoa; Chordata; Actinopteri; Cichliformes; Cichlidae.
CAUUCCCCCUCUGGCUUCCGAGCACUCCUCCUCCUGCUCUCCUGACUGAAUGCUGCUGCCUGAGCCCGGCCCCUCCUCAGCUCGAGGAGCUGCUUUUACUCACUCAAGCACCAAGGGACACAGGAAUCAUGACUCUGCUAUAGAGGGCAGCCUCUACGCAAGCUCCUCCAACAACAGACACAUUUCCCACAGCUGAUCUUCAAGGCAGAAUACAUCAUGAAGAAUCUCUAAGGACCUUUUCUUUCGUCUUUCCUCUGUGAAACUCACCUUUAAGUUUUCUGAAAUUCAAAAUUUGUUACGAAAGAUGAGUGUGAAAAAAAAGGCUGCACUUGUCAUCAGCUGGCAGAAGUCAUUUUCCAUCAUGGCCCCUUGGAGGAAAGGUCGCAUGAAAUUAGACCUGAUGGAUGUCUUGUAGACAAAAAGAGACUGAUAAUAUACCACCACCUUGGCUCUAAACCCAGAAGACCAGGCUUCCUAAAACAACAAAAAAUGCUUGGCUGCUCCACCUGAGCCUCUUCUUCUGUAGCUCCAGAUGAUAAGUGGUCAGUUUAACCACCCACAGUGACCCUGACAAACACACACCACAGCAGGGCUGUAAAAAUAGCAGGCCUGUCGCAGCCUGUUUAUGACCUCGUGUUGUCAGAGGCCAACUAAACCAACAGCUAAGCCCAAAGGCUUUCCAUAUAUGUGUAGUGUGUGUGUUUUUUUUAAAGAGACAAAUAUCGUUCUCUGUAUUAAGAGACAGCCAGAUGGCACAAACCAGAAGGUUUAGCCAACAUCUAUGAGAAAAUUAAAGCCACCUUUUAUAAGAGCGUGUGCAGUUUGAAGGUGAUUUCAUGAGAGGAAAAAAGAAAGUGCUUCACUUAAGGAUGUAUGAUGAUCGUCUUUGGAGCCACAUUCACAGUUUGUAUUUCUUCUUUAUGAUACUUUUGCUUAUUCGCCAUGUAGCACACAUACAGUAUACUUUUAUCAUGUUUUUUUAAAUUUAGAAAUAAAUAUUAUUUUUAUUUUAAAAAAUCUUUUUUUUUUUACAGGAAACUUUAAGUAACAUAGCCUUUACCGAAUAAAUAUCACAGUUUAGCUUCCUCACCUGAGGUAUUAUCAUAUCAUCAUCAUCAUUAUAGUUUGAAAAAUGUCCAGCAGUCAAAAAAGCAUCUGAUGUCACCAGAGCUGCUUAAAAUUAUUUCCAGAUAACUGCUCACAUUAAGCAUUUGUAUUAUCAUUAUUACAGUUUGGAAAACCUGCAAAUUAAACACAAACUGGAGAACUUUAUUUGUUAUCGUAAUACAACAAAUGAUUCUGAGAUGCCAAAGUUUUUGUUAUUUAUUUGAGGAAAUUCAUUUUGCAAACAUGUAACUCCGUAAGACCACCACUCACCCAACUGUUGUUUUGGCAUUUCUGUUCUUAGAUGGAAUAACUGAUUAGAUCCUUAAUAAUAAUCAUUAAACCACACUCACAAUGCAACAUUAACUAAGGUCUUGAUACCACUUGGGUGCAAUUGAAUCCCAGUGACAUAAAUUUUAUCAUCAAACAGUGAGACAGGAUGUUUCUAGUUCCCUCUGCCUUCAAGGCAGCUCAGAGCUUUGUUAUUAAGGUGUGAAAG